RNAcentral lists this ribosomal RNA (253 nucleotides) under uncultured bacterium. RNAcentral describes it as "partial 16S ribosomal RNA". It matches the Rfam family "Bacterial small subunit ribosomal RNA", at positions 524 to 776 of the family's 1533-position model. The record is from RNAcentral.
UACGUAGGGUGCAAGCGUUGUCCGGAAUUAUUGGGCGUAAAGAGCUCGUAGGCGGUUUGUCGCGUCUGCUGUGAAAAUCCAGGGCUUAACCCUGGACCUGCAGUGGGUACGGGCAGACUAGAGUGCGGUAGGGGAGAUCGGAAUUCCUGGUGUAGCGGUGAAAUGCGCAGAUAUCGGGAAGAACACCCGUGGCGAAGGCGGCUCUCUGGGACGGUACCGACGCUGAGACGCGAAAGCGUGGGGAGCGAACAGG